CACGAAAAAGACCAUCUCAGUUCGGAUUGCAGCCUGCAACUCGGCUGCAUGAAGCUGGAAUCGCUAGUAAUCGCAGAUCAGAAUGCUGCGGUGAAUACGUUCCCGGGUCUUGUACACACCGCCCGUCACACCAUGGGAGUUGGAAAUGCCCGAAGUCAGUGACCGAACCGAAAGGAAGGAGCUGCCGAAGGUGGAGCCGAUGACUGGGGUGAAGUCGUAACAAGGUAUC
This 229-nucleotide ribosomal RNA is filed under the name uncultured bacterium. RNAcentral describes it as "partial 16S ribosomal RNA". It matches the Rfam family "Bacterial small subunit ribosomal RNA", at positions 1272 to 1500 of the family's 1533-position model. The record is from RNAcentral.